UUGGCGAUAUACUGUCAGCGGCCAAGCGAAAGUAUUAAGUGAUGCACCUGGGGAGUACGCCGGCAACGGUGAAACUCAAAGGAAUUGACGGGGGCCCGCACAAGCGGUGGAGCAUGUGGUUUAAUUCGAUGAUACGCGAGGAACCUUACCAGGGCUUAAAUGUAGUAUGACCGGCUUAGAAAUAGGCCUUCUCUUCGGAGCAGAUUACAAGGUGCUGCAUGGUUGUCGUCAGCUCGUGCCGUGAGGUGUUAGGUUAAGUCCUGCAACGAGCGCAACCCCUAUUCUUAGUUGCCAGCGGUUCGGCCGGGGACUCUAAGAAGACUGCCAGCGCAAGCUGAGAGGAAGGUGGGGAUGACGUCAAAUCAUCACGGCCCUUACGUCCUGGGCUACACACGUGCUACAAUGGUAGAGACAGAGGGCAGCCACCUGGUGACAGGGAGCGAAUCCUUAAACUCUAUCUCAGUUCGGAUCGAAGUCUGCAACUCGACUUCGUGAAGCUGGAAUCGCUAGUAAUCGCGCAUCAGCCAUGGCGCGGUGAAUACGUUCCCGGGCCUUGUACACACCGCCCGUCAAGCCAUGGAAGCUGGGGGCACCUGAAGUCGGUAACCGUAAGGAGCCUCCUAGGGUGAAACUGGUAACUAGGGCU
RNAcentral lists this ribosomal RNA (646 nucleotides) under uncultured marine bacterium. RNAcentral's name for it is "bacterial SSU rRNA". It matches the Rfam family "Bacterial small subunit ribosomal RNA", at positions 823 to 1482 of the family's 1533-position model. The record is from RNAcentral.